Molecule: long non-coding RNA, 1148 nt
Filed under: Capsicum annuum
Lineage: Eukaryota; Viridiplantae; Streptophyta; Magnoliopsida; Solanales; Solanaceae
Description: long non-coding RNA (CANN_LNC005916)
Source: RNAcentral
UUGGAAGUAGAUUUUUCUCUCUUUCUUUGGAUCCUUCUCUUGCACUGUGUAUGUGUGUGUUUCUUGAGCUAUUUCGGGGAAAGGGUCAGUGAGAUUUCUGCAUGUAAAGCUGGAAUCUUGAUUUUGGGUUAGUGUCAAAUGUAUGAAAUGGUUGUGUGUUUUGAGGUAUAUUGAGUAAUGGCUCAGUGAGUUUUUCUGCAUAUAAAGCUGGAAUCUUGAUUUUGGGUUAGUGUCAAAUGUAUGAAAACACCCAUUGAACUGAGUGUGUGUAUGUGUUUUUUGAGCUGUAUUGGGUAAUGGGUCAGUGAGUUUUUCUGCAUAUAAAGCUGGAAUCUUGAUUUUGGGUUAGUCUCAAAUGUAUGAAAACACCCAUUGAAGUGUGUGUGUGUAUGUAUUUUUUGAGCUGUAUUCGUUAAUGGGUCAGUGAGUUUUUCUGCAUAUAAAGCUAGAAUCUUGAUUUUGGGUUAGUGUCAAAUUUAUCAAAACACCCAUUGAAGUGUGUGUAUAUGUGUUUUCAGAGCUGUAUUGGGUAAUGGGUUUGUGAGCUUUUCUGCAUAUAAAGCUGGAAUCUUGAUUUUUAAUUAGAGUCAAAUGUAUGAAAACACCCAUUGAAGUGUGUGUGUAUGUGUUUUUUGAGCUGUAUUGGGUAAUGGAUCAGUGAGUUAUCUGCAUAUAAAGCUGGAAUCUUGAUUUUUUUGAUUUGGGGUUAGUGUCAGUGUAUGAAAACAAUCAUUAGAGUGUGUGUAUGUGUGUGUGUUUUGGAGCUAUAUUGAGUAAUGGGUCAGCGAGUUUUCCUGUAUUUAAAGUUGGAAUCUUGAUUUUGUUGAGUGACAUUUUGAUUUGGGUUAGUGUCAAAUGUGUGAAAAUAUCCAUUAGAGUGUCUGUGUGUGUGUUUUGAGCUAUUUUGAGUAAUGGGCCAGUGAGUUUUUCUUUAUGUAAAGCUGGAAUCUUGAUUUUGUUGAGUGACAUUUUGAUUUGGGUUAGUGUCAAAUGUAUGGAAAAAACCAUUAAAGUGAAGUUUUCAUGAGCUUUUUGGGUUAAUCUUUUUGUUUUUACAGACCCUUUUACUCUCUUGGUCUGGAAAGGGGAGUUUUGUGUUUUCUUUGUGUAAAAGAGGUUUCUUGAUGAUGAAAACUGUGAGAUUUUAC